ACUUGCCAGUUGCUACCAGGUAAUGCUGGGCGACUCUGGUGAGACUGCCCGUUAACCGGGGAGGAAGGUGGGGACGGACGUCAAGUCAUCAUGGCCCUUACGCCUAGGGCUACACACGUACUACAAUGGCGCAUACAAAGGGCAGCGAUACCGCGAGGUGGAGCCAAUCCCAAAAAGUGCGUCCCAGUCCGGAUUGCAGUCUGCAACUCGACUGCAUGAAGUUGGAAUCGCUAGUAAUUCGAGAUCAGCAUGCUCGGGUGAAUGCGUUCCCGGGCCUU
Molecule: ribosomal RNA, 278 nt
Filed under: uncultured Desulfovibrio sp.
Lineage: Bacteria; Pseudomonadati; Thermodesulfobacteriota; Desulfovibrionia; Desulfovibrionales; Desulfovibrionaceae
Description: partial 16S ribosomal RNA
Rfam family: Bacterial small subunit ribosomal RNA
Source: RNAcentral